Molecule: long non-coding RNA, 369 nt
Organism: Schistocerca serialis cubense
Lineage: Eukaryota; Metazoa; Arthropoda; Insecta; Orthoptera; Acrididae
Exons: 3
Source: RefSeq, a predicted model, not a curated record
GGGUCUGCGUAAGCAUCUCAACUGGCUGCAUAAAUCAUACCCCGGGUAUCCGUUCUUCAUCACCGAGAACGGAUGGUCCGACCCGCCUGGAGUUCUGAACGACACAGCACGCAUCCACUACUACAGGUGAUACCUCUCCGCCCUCCUAAGAUCCAUCAACGAUGACGGCGUCCCAGUGAUCGGCUACACUGCCUGGAGCCUGCUCGACAACCUGGAGUGGAUGAGUGGAUACACGAUCAAGUUCGGCCUGUACUCCGUGGACUACGAUGAUCCAGAGCGCCCCAGAACUGCGAAGGCGUUAGUGCCGGUGAUGGCGCAGAUCUACAAGGAGAAGGCGGUCCCUCUGGAGGACUUCGAGAACACCGACAC